This 1689-nucleotide ribosomal RNA is filed under the name Triticum aestivum (bread wheat). Its description in RNAcentral is "partial small subunit ribosomal RNA". The record is from RNAcentral. Lineage: Eukaryota; Viridiplantae; Streptophyta; Magnoliopsida; Poales; Poaceae.
AUGGAGGUGCAGCCGGAGACGCUGGACGCCCUGGCGGGGUGGUUCGCGCAGACGCUGUCCUCGGACGCGGCCGCCCGCAGCGCCGCCGAGCAGAGCCUCUCGGCCGCGGCCGCGUCGUCCCCGGGCCUCGCGCCGGCGCUCCUCGCCCUCGCCUCCUCCCCGCACCAUGACCACAAGGCCCGCCUCGCCGCCUCCGUCCACUUCAAGAACCUCCUCCGCGCGUGUUGGCCCGACGACAGCGACCACCCCCUGCUGCCCAACGACCGCGACGUCAUCAAGGCGCACAUCCUCCGGCUCAUGCUCGCCGCCCCACCCCUCGUCCGGGCGCAGCCCUCUGAGGCCAUCGUCCUCGCCGCCGCCUCCGACUUCCCUGCCAGAUGGGACUCGCUGCUCCCCUCCAUCGUCUCCUCGCUCGGCGCCGCCCUCUCGGCGGGGGACGUCCCGGCCGCCAACGCCCUCCUCGCCGCCGCGCUCCCCCUCCUCUCCCGCUUCCUUUUCGCCGCGCCGCUCCUCGAGGUCUUCCUCUCCACCUCUCACAGCCAGGGGCGGAGCCCAAUGGGCCAACCCUGUAGCACAGGCUACAGGCUCCAGAUCCGCCCCUGCUCACAGCCUCCUUCAACCUCGGUCUUCUGCGGCCCAAGUCUUCGAGUGCCUUCGUCUGUGCUGCGAGGUCUUCUACUCGUUCCUCACGACCUCCUAGUCGAGGCAGACGGUGCCCCGGACGCGCUCCGUGCCGCCGUCUGCAAUAACCUGCAGCUCUACAUCGAGAAGUACGAGGAAGAGUUGAUGCCGUAUCUCAAGGAGUUUGCCGAGGCUGUGUGGGGGCUCCUCCUCGCAGCAGUGUCACCGAGACCGUCCCGUGAUCAGCUCGCCGUGACCGCCAUAAGGUCCGUGGCAACGGAAUGGACUCGUGCGUCAGGAACCUCGUCACGCGACAUGCAUGAUAAUAAUUCAACUUCAAUCGUGCCGCUUCACGACACAACCGCUCGUCUUGUGGGCAUUCUGAUGGAGGUGUGCAACAACCGCAAGAACCCUGACUUUAAUCAUUACUUGUUUGAGGCUCUGGCAGCAGUGAUUGGGAAGGCCGGCGAGCAGGACCCAGCAGCGUUACUACCUUCGUUUGAGGUAAGCCUCUUCCCAGUGCUCCAGAGGAUAUUGCUCGAGGACAUCUCAGAGUUCUGGCCGUAUGCUUUUCAGAUAUUCGCACAGCUUGUCAAUUUGAGCCCAACGCCUCUCUCGCAGAACUACAUGCAGCUGUUUGGUCUCCUUCUCAGCCUCGCAGCGGUUGCCUCAACAAGGUUGCUUUGCGAGUCCGCGGUUCUGUUGGACGCUGCUGCUGCGCAAUCUUGGGGCAAAUUGCUCGAUAGCACUGUCGCACUGCUGUCUAGUACAACGGACCAAGACGUAGGAGUACAACAAGAGCAAAAUGACGAUGGAACCGAUGCAGUGGAUGGUCGGAGGAGAUCAGGUUAUUCCGUCUCAUUUGUACGCCUUCAGUAUGCUGGGAAGAGCGAAGAUGGUCUGUUGAAAGAAGUCAAUGAUCCAAAACAGUUUCUGCUGGCAUCCUUGGCCUCACUUUCUGCACAGUCUCCUGGAAGGUUUGCUCCUAUCAUUGAGCAACAUGUGGACCCAGCAAACAAAAGUGCUCUUCUUCACCUUUGCGCCGCCUAUAAUGCCAACAUUUUCUAG